AUAUCAUGGUGUGGACACUUUUUUAGAAGAUCAUUAUAUCUUUCCUAUGCAUCAUGGAACUAUUCUCACGGGAUUUGGGAAAAUGCCAUGAUUUCUUUUCUCAUUU
This is a small nucleolar RNA of Cornus florida, 106 nucleotides long. NCBI's taxonomy places the organism in Eukaryota, Viridiplantae, Streptophyta, Magnoliopsida, Cornales, Cornaceae. The record is from RefSeq and is a predicted model, not a curated record.